RNAcentral lists this small nucleolar RNA (68 nucleotides) under Camarhynchus parvulus. The record is from RNAcentral. Lineage: Eukaryota; Metazoa; Chordata; Aves; Passeriformes; Thraupidae.
CCUGCCGAGGAUGAGGCGAUACCGCCCCAGACUGAGCCCUGUGAUUGAUCGGUGCCCCCUGAGGCUCU